This 66-nucleotide transfer RNA is filed under the name Micrura bella. Its description in RNAcentral is "tRNA-Ile". Lineage: Eukaryota; Metazoa; Nemertea; Pilidiophora; Heteronemertea; Lineidae. The record is from RNAcentral.
GGUUUCACGCCGGAAAGAACGGGUUACGUUGAUGGUGUAAAAUAUAGAAUUAUUUUCUUGAGGCCA